GAUGAACGCUGGCGGCGUGCCUAAUACAUGCAAGUCGAGCGAACGGACGAGAAGCUUGCUUCUCUGAUGUUAGCGGCGGACGGGUGAGUAACACGUGGAUAACCUACCUAUAAGACUGGGAUAACUUCGGGAAACCGGCGCUAAUACCGGAUAAUAUUUUGAACCGCAUGGUUCAAAAGUGAAAGACGGUCUUGCUGUCACUUAUAGAUGGAUCCGCGCUGCAUUAUCUAGUUGGUAAGGUAACGGCUUACCAAGGCAACGAUGCAUAGCCGACCUGAGAGGGUGAUCGGCCACACUGGAACUGAGACACGGUCCAGACGCCUACGGGAGGCAGCAGUAGGGAAUCUUCCGCAAUGGGCGAAAGCCUGACGGAGCAACGCCGCGUGAGUGAUGAAGGUCUUCGGAUCGUAAAACUCUGUUAUUAGGGAAGAACAGAUGUGUAAGUAACUGUGCACAGCUUGACGGUACCUAAUCAGAAAGCCACGGCUAACUACGUG
Molecule: ribosomal RNA, 497 nt
Filed under: uncultured bacterium
Lineage: Bacteria
Description: partial 16S ribosomal RNA
Rfam family: Bacterial small subunit ribosomal RNA
Source: RNAcentral